Molecule: non-coding RNA, 24 nt
Filed under: Arabidopsis thaliana (thale cress)
Lineage: Eukaryota; Viridiplantae; Streptophyta; Magnoliopsida; Brassicales; Brassicaceae
Source: RNAcentral
AGGUGACGUUUCAUUCCAUCAAUG